RNAcentral lists this ribosomal RNA (497 nucleotides) under uncultured bacterium. RNAcentral's name for it is "partial 16S ribosomal RNA". It matches the Rfam family "Bacterial small subunit ribosomal RNA", at positions 28 to 507 of the family's 1533-position model. The record is from RNAcentral.
GAUGAACGCUGGCGGCGUGCCUAAUACAUGCAAGUCGAGCGAACAGACGAGGAGCUUGCUCCUCUGACGUUAGCGGCGGACGGGUGAGUAACACGUGGAUAACCUACCUAUAAGACUGGGAUAACUUCGGGAAACCGGAGCUAAUACCGGAUAAUAUAUUGAACCGCAUGGUUCAAUAGUGAAAGACGGUUUUGCUGUCACUUAUAGAUGGAUCCGCGCCGCAUUAGCUAGUUGGUAAGGUAACGGCUUACCAAGGCAACGAUGCGUAGCCGACCUGAGAGGGUGAUCGGCCACACUGGAACUGAGACACGGUCCAGACUCCUACGGGAGGCAGCGGUAGGGAAUCUUCCGCAAUGGGCGAAAGCCUGACGGAGCAACGCCGCGUGAGGGAUGAAGGUCUUCGGAUCGUAAAACUCUGUUAUUAGGGAAGAACAAAUGUGUAAGUAACUAUGCACGUCUUGACGGUACCUAAUCAGAAAGCCACGGCUAACUACGUG